Lonchura striata (white-rumped munia) is the source of this 332-nucleotide non-coding RNA. NCBI's taxonomy places the organism in Eukaryota, Metazoa, Chordata, Aves, Passeriformes, Estrildidae. The record is from RefSeq and is a predicted model, not a curated record.
GGGUUCCAGCAUCCAGUGAGAAAAACAGAAAGUUCCUGAAUGGAGAGAUACAAAACGCCCCAUUCAUCCCAGCUGGGUGAAAGCUGACUGGAAAUACAACAGGACUCAGCAAGCAGGACUCUGAAUUCAACAUUUCACCAACUCAGGCCCACAAGAAAGGGCGUUUUCCAGUAGCUUUCCUUGAUCCUGGAGGGAUUUGGGCAUCCUUGACAAGGCACUGAAUUAAUCCUUCCAUCAAAUGAUCCCAAAUGUGGCCUUCACUCGGUGUCAGGUCGGAAUUCCAGAUGAAAUUGCUCUCUCAGGAAGCAAAAAGGGUGGAAAAUACACAGGGA